RNAcentral lists this transfer RNA (65 nucleotides) under Neptis sappho. RNAcentral's name for it is "tRNA-His". The record is from RNAcentral. Lineage: Eukaryota; Metazoa; Arthropoda; Insecta; Lepidoptera; Nymphalidae.
ACUUAAAUAAUUUAAAAAAAAUAUUGAUUUGUGGUGUCAAAAAUAUGAUGUUAUCAUUUUAGGUU